Molecule: ribosomal RNA, 497 nt
Filed under: uncultured bacterium
Lineage: Bacteria
Description: partial 16S ribosomal RNA
Rfam family: Bacterial small subunit ribosomal RNA
Source: RNAcentral
GACGAACGCUGGCGGCGUGCCUAAUACAUGCAAGUUGAGCGCUGAAGGUUGGUACUUGUACCAACUGGAUGAGCAGCGAACGGGUGAGUAACGCGUGGGGAAUCUGCCUUUGAGCGGGGGACAACAUUUGGAAACGAAUGCUAAUACCGCAUAAAAACUUUAAACACAAGUUUUAAGUUUGAAAGAUGCAAUUGCAUCACUCAAAGAUGAUCCCGCGUUGUAUUAGCUAGUUGGUGAGGUAAAGGCCCACCAAGGCGAUGAUACAUAGCCGACCUGAGAGGGUGGUCGGCCACAUUGGGACUGGGACACGGCCCAAACUCCUACGGGAGGCAGCAGUAGGGAAUCUUCGGCAAUGGACGAAAGUCUGACCGAGCAACGCCGCGUGAGUGAAGAAGGUUUUCGGAUCGUAAAACUCUGUUGGUAGAGAAGAACGUUGGUGAGAGUGGAAAGCUCAUCAAGUGACGGUAACUACCCAGAAAGGGACGGCUAACUACGUG